GCCAUGAGCUCUACAUUGUAGAGUUUGAGACUCUUAAUCUCAGUUGUGGGUUUGAGCCCCACUUUGGGCA
Podarcis lilfordi (Lilford's wall lizard) is the source of this 70-nucleotide non-coding RNA. The record is from the annotation of a GenBank genome assembly. Lineage: Eukaryota; Metazoa; Chordata; Lepidosauria; Squamata; Lacertidae.